Molecule: long non-coding RNA, 1452 nt
Organism: Scleropages formosus (Asian bonytongue)
Lineage: Eukaryota; Metazoa; Chordata; Actinopteri; Osteoglossiformes; Osteoglossidae
Source: Ensembl
AUGGUGGUGCAGUGGCGCAGUGGGUUGGACCAAGUCCCACUCUCUGGUGGGUCUGGAGUUCAAGUCCUGCUUGGGGUGCCUUGCAACAGACUGGCAUCCUGUCCUGGGUGUGUCCUGUCUGCCUCUAGAUCCCCAAAUUUGUCAUCUUAUGUCAAGACAGAGGACAGGUUAUUUCGGCACCUCUUCAACAGCUAUCAGAAGUGGGUUAGACCAGUGAAGUACCUCAAUGGCACAGUGCGAGUCAUAUUUGGACUAGCAAUCUCCCAGCUGGUGGAUGUGGAUGAGAAGAACCAGCUGAUGACAACAAAUGUAUGGAUGAAACAGGAAUGGGUUGACGUGAAACUACGGUGGGACCCCAAUGAGUACCAAGGAAUUAAUACCAUCCGUGUCCCCUCUGACACCAUCUGGACCCCUGACAUUGUUCUGUAUGACAAUGCAGAUGGUUGUUUUGAAGGCACUUUUACAAAGGCAGUAGUGAAACAUGAUGGAACUGUCUCCUGGACUCGGCCUGCCAACUACAAAUCCACCUGUACUAUAGAUGUCACCUUUUUCCCCUUUGACCAACAGAACUGCUCCAUGAAGUUUGGUUCUUGGACUUAUGAUGAUUCUCAGGUGGACAUCCUGUUGGAGGAUGUUCAUGUAGACAAGCGGGAUUACUUUGACAAUGGCGAGUGGGAAAUUGUAAAAGCUACAGGCAGGCGUGGCUUGCGAAUAGAUGCUUCCUUCUCCUACCCCUUCAUCACCUACUCCUUCAUCAUCCGAAGGCUGCCCCUCUUCUACACGCUCUUCCUCAUCAUCCCCUGUAUUGGCCUUUCCUUCCUCACUGUUUUGGUCUUCUACUUGCCCUCCAGCUGCAGAGAAAAAAUCUCCCUGUGCACCUCAGUACUUGUGUCCCUCACUGUUUUCCUGUUGGUCAUUGAGGAGAUCAUCCCAUCCUCCUCCAAAGUCAUCCCACUCAUCGGGGAGUACCUUGUGUUUACCAUGAUCUUCGUCACCCUGUCUAUCAUCAUCACCGUAUUCGUCAUCAACAUCCACCACCGCUCUUCCUCCACUCACCAGGACAUGGCUCCUUGGGUCCGACGCAUAUUCCUACACCGACUACCCAAAUUGCUUUGCAUGCGUAGCCAUGUGGACCGCUAUGUUGUCCCUGGGGAAGACAGAGGAGCAAGAGGACAUAUCCAGAGUGCUGUGUUUGAGACAGAACCUCUCCUUGCAACCAGAAAUAACCUACAGGCAGCUCUGGAUUCCAUUCGUUACAUCACUCACCAUGUUGUCAAGGAAAAUGAAGUUAGAGAGGUGGUGCAAGACUGGAAGUUUGUAGCCGAGGUUCUCGACAGGGUCUUCCUUUGGGCUUUCCUACUGGUCUCUGUGCUGGGGUCAGCUCUACUCUUCAUCCCUGUCAUAUACAAAUGGGCCUGUGUUGUUCCCAAAAAUGCUGAGGCUACCAGCUAA